RNAcentral lists this ribosomal RNA (501 nucleotides) under uncultured bacterium. Its description in RNAcentral is "SSU rRNA". It matches the Rfam family "Bacterial small subunit ribosomal RNA", at positions 26 to 518 of the family's 1533-position model. The record is from RNAcentral.
AGGACGAACGCUGGCGGCGCGCUUAACACAUGCAAGUCGAGCGAGAACCGGUCCUUCGGGACUGGGGAAAGCGGCGAACGGGUGAGUAACACGUGGGUAAUCAACCCUUGGCACUGGGAUAGCCCGAGGAAACUCGGAUUAAUACCGGAUGGCCCAGCAGUCUUUCGGGACGGCUGGAAAAGGUAGCUCUGGCCUCCGGCCAAGGACGAGCCCGCGGCGGAUUAGCUUGUUGGUGGGGUAAUGGCCUACCAAGGCGACGAUCCGUAGCUGGUCUGAGAGGACGAUCAGCCACACUGGGACUGAGACACGGCCCAGACUCCUACGGGAGGCAGCAGUGGGGAAUCUUGCACAAUGGGCGAAAGCCUGAUGCAGCGACGCCGCGUGAGGAGAAGGCUUUCGGGUUGUAAACCUCUUUCAGGAGGGACGAAGCUACUCGGGUUAAUAGCCCAGAGGUGACGGUACCUCCAGAAGAGCCCCGGCUAACUACGUGCCAGCAGCCGC